Molecule: transfer RNA, 75 nt
Filed under: Alphaproteobacteria bacterium
Lineage: Bacteria; Pseudomonadati; Pseudomonadota; Alphaproteobacteria
Also listed under: 1 other name
Description: tRNA-Lys
Rfam family: tRNA
About the family: Transfer RNA (tRNA) molecules are approximately 80 nucleotides in length.
Source: RNAcentral
GGGCCCGUAGCUCAGUGGUAGAGCAUCUGACUUUUAAUCAGAUGGUCGGUGGUUCGAUCCCACCCGGGCUCACCA